UACGGGAGGCAGCAGUGGGGAAUAUUGCACAAUGGGCGCAAGCCUGAUGCAGCCAUGCCGCGUGUAUGAAAAAGGCCUUCGGGUUGUAAAGUACUUUCAGUCGUGAGGAAGGUGUUAAGGUUAAUAACCUUAGCAAUUGACGUUAGCGACAGAAGAAGCACCGGCUAACUCCGUGCCAGCAGCCGCGGUAAUACGGAGGGUGCGAGCGUUAAUCGGAAUUACUGGGCUAAAGGGCACGCAGGCGGUUAAUUAAGUUGGAUGUGAAAUCCCCGGGCUUAACCUGGGAAUGGCAUUCAAGACUGGUUAGCUAGAGUCUUGUAGAGGGGGUAGAAUUCCAUGUGUAGCGGUGAAAUGCGCAGAGAUGUGGAGGAAUACCGGUGGCGAAGGCGGCCCCUGGACAAAGACUGACGCUCAUGUGCGAAAGCGUGGGGAGCAAAC
RNAcentral lists this ribosomal RNA (438 nucleotides) under uncultured bacterium. Its description in RNAcentral is "bacterial SSU rRNA". It matches the Rfam family "Bacterial small subunit ribosomal RNA", at positions 340 to 773 of the family's 1533-position model. The record is from RNAcentral.